Halichondria panicea is the source of this 822-nucleotide long non-coding RNA. RefSeq lists it as uncharacterized. The transcript has 11 exons. NCBI's taxonomy places the organism in Eukaryota, Metazoa, Porifera, Demospongiae, Suberitida, Halichondriidae. The record is from RefSeq and is a predicted model, not a curated record.
CGUCACCUGACUACAAAAAGAGAAUGAGACAGACAGAGCUCUGAGAAAAAAUCCUGCUGCUUGUCACAAGAGGAGCUGCUGGUCCAAAAAGACAACUUGAAGAGGACUAUACACUAUUAGUCUACCUGUGAACAGAAAAAGGUUUGCACGUUGUUAUGGACUUUUGAAGCUGGAACACUGGCCAAUUUUACAAGGCUCCCAUCUGAAGUUUUUUCACUUUUGAUAAAGAGGUGUUGAAGAAUGCUCCCAGAUAAUGCUGCCGAGUUGAAGUCUGGACUAAUUACACACUAGAUGUUGUCAGAAGAAUGAACUAAAGAUAAAGCAACAGUUUCCUGUUGCGGGAUAUCUUCGAGAUGAAAAAGAGCCCUUGUAAUGUGUACAGCACACUGUAAGCUGUUGACUGACUUCAUAGUACGCCGGUAAGAUUAUUCACAGUGGACAGUGGUGUGUUCUUCUUUUAAUCUUCUAACUCUUCUUCAGAUGUUGCAAAACUCAAGAUUUCUUUAUUGGCAUGCCGAGUUGGAGUCUGGAUGUGUUAGAUUGAAGUUUUUAGACGAAUGAUAAAGAGAAUGCAACAAUUGCCUGCUGGCGAGCUAUCUCGGAGAUGAAGAACGGCCCUUCAAGCUGUUCACUGACUUCAUAGUACGCCGAGUCUAUCUUUGUGCACAAAAACAAGACGAAUAUAAAUACAUGCCACCGUGGGGAUGUGAAGACACGGACAUGAUAAUGAGAGGCAUAAUGUAGCUAAACAGAAAUUAAUAUAUAUAUAUAUCUUGUUCUUGUCUUCUUUGUCUUUGAAUUGUGACCUUUUGAAGCAUGAUA